This 1020-nucleotide long non-coding RNA is filed under the name Calidris pugnax (ruff). RNAcentral describes it as "lncRNA (ENSCPUG00000001816.1)". Lineage: Eukaryota; Metazoa; Chordata; Aves; Charadriiformes; Scolopacidae. The record is from RNAcentral.
GCUGCCUUUACCUGGCUCCCUGGCCCUGUGUGAGAGCUGCCCAGCUCCACGACCAGGGUGGCUGAGGGUGCAGCCCCGGCGCCUCUGACAUCUCCAGACCUGCUGGGCAGCUGUGUUUGACCUCCACAGUCUGGGUCCCAGGGUCAGGCUGGGUUUAAGAGGUUGUAAAUGAUUAACACUGCGGGCACAGGGAAGUCAAAACUUCCACGCAGUGGGAGGAGAAAGGCACUUUCUUACCUGGGAAAGUGGCUGCUCUGUCCACCCCCAUCCUCUGAAGGAGAACGGCUCGGCAAAAUGGCACUGGGCAGUGUGGUCCAGCAGGCAGCACAGGCUGGCACUGCCCCCUCGUCCUGCACCGAUGGGAGGAAAGAGCAUCAACGUCACAGCCUGCCCUUCUCCUGCCGAUACAGUACAACCUGACCUGAACGGUGACUCCAUUUGUGGCCAAUAAUCAUGCCACCGUACGUCUCAUCAACACUUCAUUUUCCCUGUUUAGCCCAUAUCUGAAAUACCCAGGAGUGCCAACCAUGAGAAAAGAGACAUUAGCUGUGCCAGAUGAAUAGCUAAAUGAAGAUUUUGUUUCUAUUACCCUGUCCGACAGCAGCCACCUCUUAGUCUGGCUCCUCUGCCCACACACAUGUAAACCAUGGGAGGGGUACCAUGUAAAAUAGACUUUCAAAGCAAAACAGAGGAAAAGUCAGGAGAAAAAAGGCAGUCUAAUUGAAGCAACUAAACAGGAGACACUCAGGAAAUGGUGCAAAAGGAAUGAGAAAAAUUGUAAUAAGAGGAUUAAGCAACUGGCGGUCGUGCAAAAAAAUCAGUAAGAUAUAAACUGUAAGAGCUUUAUGACUUUUUCUUUAAAGACAAGGGAGGGUGCACUAAAAUAUGUGUUCUGCUUCUCCAACCAAAGUUCAAUAACAAGCAGUGAAUUAAUUGAGAAUACAAUCAACAAAAUGAAUACCAGCUCAGGAACAGGAGUACUAAGACCCAAUAAACCAGUCCUCAUCUUGGGGCCUUUCA